This is an RNA transcript of Triticum urartu, 2945 nucleotides long. It is a transcript of the gene named putative F-box/kelch-repeat protein At1g15680, with no coding region annotated. Lineage: Eukaryota; Viridiplantae; Streptophyta; Magnoliopsida; Poales; Poaceae. The record is from RefSeq and is a predicted model, not a curated record.
UAUGCUUGAAAAAAAAGUUUGGCACCUCGUUAACCCCUCCUGGUUGAAGAAAAUAAAAACAGAGCACCGUUUGGACAACGCACAGCGCCAACCUUGUGUGGGGAAUAUACAAUCUCAUGGGCUUUUACGUUUCUCUGUUAGUCAUGGCCUUAUGGGCUCUCACCAGCAGCGGUCUCAUGGGCUGGCUAGUCGUCCCCGUCUCUUCAGCGUCACUUUGGACCUGGGCUUGACUGACCGCACACCCUGCACGACCUGUGAGCGAGAUGACGACGACCAGCUUCCUCCCCCGUUCCGCGGCGGCGCCGCCGCUGGACGACGACGACCUGCUCUCCGAGAUCCUGCUCCGCCUCCCCCCGCAGCCGUCCUCCCUCCCACGCGCCUCCCUCGUCUGCAGGCGCUGGCGCAGCCUCCUCUCCGACCCCGCCUUCCGCCGCCGCUUCCGCAUCCACCACCGCCGCAGCCCUCCGCUCCUCGGCUUCAUCGACGCGAACCAGGGCAUCACCUUCCAGCCAGCCCUGGACGCCCCCGACCGCCUCCCCCGCGGCCACUUCUCCCUCGACCUCCACGACCGCUACAUGACCCUCGGAUGGCGCCACGGCCUCGCGCUCUUCUUCCUCCCGAUCCCGCUCCAGGUCGUCGUGUGGGACCCCGUCGCCGGCGUCCAGCACCGCCUGGCCGUGCCCCCGGGGUUCGGGUUCCACCCGUUGGAGAACCCCAUCAACGGGACGGUGCUCCGCGCCGCCGGAGAAAUCGACCACUUCCAGGUGGUCUUGGUAAGCAGCGACGGGAAGCAGCCUAGAAGAGCGCUCGGCCGCGUUUACUCGUCGGAGACCGGCGUAUGGGGCGAUACCAUCUCAUGCCCGGUUCCAUUGGUGUCUAUGGUUCAUAUAGGCGAGCCCGCUGUACUGGCGGGGGAUUGCAUUUAUUGGUUGGUUUCAGCAUCCAAUAUCAUCGAGUUUGAUUUGGAUAGGCAGACCCUAGCUGUGACAUUGUUGCCAGCGCAGGUGCUUACCAGCCGCAAUCGCCAUGUCGUGGUUAUGCGGACAGAGGGUGGUGGGAUGGGUCUCAUCGUCGUGUCAGACUUCAUCGCCCAAUUAUGGAAGAGGGAGACAGACUGUCAUGGCGAUGUUUCUUGGAGCAGUUGGAGAACUAUUGAACUGGACAAGUUACUUCCCCCAAAUUCAGAGAAAGAGCCACCGAAUAUGAUAGGUUAUGCAGAGGAAAAUAAUGUGGCGUUCUUCUGGACAGUUGUUGGUGUCUUCAUGGUCCACCUUGAGUCGUUGCAGCUCAAGAAACUUCCUGUGACCGGCAUCGCUUAUCGUUACUAUCCAUUCGAAAUUGUCUACACUCCAGGCAUUGGUGGUGGACACGAGGGAGCGGAAGUUGUGAGGCAUUUGUGGUGGACACGGUGUAGACAAUACAUACGGCGAUUAUUCAGUUAGAUAUGAUAUUGUGAUGUACUGGUCAAGUGGGUAAGCUUAUCUUCCACAUGCAAGUUGAGUUAUCUGAACUGUUAUUUUCCGAAUAUGUAUUGCUUUACUUAUUAUUACCAUUUCUCAAGUACCAAAUUGCAAGAGCAUACGCUAUGAGUCUCUCUACAACCCUUUGCUCAACUAUUGCCCACCUAACGGCCUCCCAUCAUGCUUUCAUGGAUCACUGCCUCCUGGAUGUUUUCUUCUGGCCCAGCUUCUUUGCCUUCUCAUAGAUGAGGAAUCUUGUCAUGUUAAGCGGGUAGCAGAAUGAAAUACUUCCUCCUUCCUGUGCUCAGUGAGAAACUUGAAUACUCUUUCCUCGUUGGUGGUUCUUGUAAUUGGGUGCUGGUAGAUGGUGCAGUUGCGAUUGUUUUGAGUGACAAUUGGGAUCUCAGUGAACGUGAUCUGAUUACCGGAGUGAAAUCUCCGGGUAUAAUGAGUAUCUUGAUGUUCCCUUGGUACAAAUUUCUGAAUGGACCAAAUAGUAUCCUCUGUAUUGAAACUUCUGUUGUCAUAAGGAAAAAUAACCCAUGGACCAUAUGUUUGCAUUCCUUAUCAUCUUCUCUCAUCGAUUCACACUUCAUUUAGGUUUUUAAUAUAAUAUAAAUACAUCUGGGUUAGCAAUUGUUCAUGAAAAAAAAUGCCUAUUGAGCUAUAAAUGCAGCUUGACUGAAGAUCUAAAAAGGUCAGUUGCCAUAUCUGCCAGCAAACUGAUAAUUACUGUUUGAAGUAUAACGAAGGAAAUUCUGCAUUACUAAAUACUAAUUCAUGUCCCGUGGCUACUAGCAUUAUUAUUCAUUCCCCCCCUGAAACUUGUUUGGUGACGGUAAAUUCAUUUUCUCCCUGAAAUUUGUUUGGUGACUGUAAAUUCAUUUUCCCCCUGAAAUUUGUUUGGCGACGGAAUCUAGCUAAACAAAUCUUGAGUAGAGAAAUACGUAAUAAGCUGUAUCAGCAACAUGCACUGAAACUUGAAUAGUUGAUAGAUCAGUAAGCCUUUUAUUUUCCUUGGCAUUAGUGAACAUCUGUGGAUGAACAAUGUCUUUACUGUUUGUAGUCUUCGGUGGAGAAUCAAAUUUUGGUUGUGCCCUUGGAUGCCAUAUCCUCCCGUAUCUUAACUUCUGGUGGCCUAUGUUUGCAUUGAUUAUGUUGUAUAUUAUAUAAUAGGUUAGCGGGAUGAGGCGUGGUGCGUGUGAUAACCACUUUGUACUUGUUAAAAGCUCAUUUGUAUGUGUAUCUUACCACUUUGCUUUUUUUUUUUUUGACAUCAUAUCUUACCACUUUGCUGGUGUUAGUAUAUAGUAUUGUUGUACCUAUGAAAAUGAUAGGUGUAUUACAAGAACAUGCGUGUUCUUAUGGUAGUGCUCGUCAGCUUUUUCUUAUGUACUGUAUAUACAAGGCUUGGUUGAAUUGUGAAUGUGUAUGCAAAUAUCUGUUGAAUAUGUAUGGUUAAUGGUAACCGGUAAGAUUGCUUUA